UCCGGUUUGUCACCGGCAGUCUGGCGCGAGUCCCCAACUUAAUGAUGGCAACACGCCACGGGGGUUGCGCUCGUUGCGGGACUUAACCCAACAUCUCACGACACGAGCUGACGACAGCCAUGCAGCAUCUGUGGCGCACCCUCGAAGGUCGGUUGGCUUUCGCCGCCCUACCACGUGCAUGUCAAACCCAGGUAAGGUUCUUCGCGUCGCAUCGAAUUAAACCACAUGCUCCACCGCUUGUGCGGGCCCCCGUCAAUUCCUUUGAGUUUCACCCUUGCGAGCGUACUCCCCAGGUGGAAUACUUAAAAGGUUACCUACGGCACUGACUCAAAAGAGCCAACACCAAGUAUUCAUCGUUUAAGGCGUGGACUAC
RNAcentral lists this unclassified non-coding RNA (373 nucleotides) under uncultured bacterium. RNAcentral describes it as "contains 16S-23S intergenic spacer region". The record is from RNAcentral.